AGAACCAGGAAGUUACAAACGGGCAAAGUUACUACACAAGGCUGUGAAGAAUUUUGCGAUAAAAGAAGAGUUGACGUUCGAAGUAACUCUCAUAUGUCUUGUCAGUAUGGAGGUUACUUCUCUUGUGUCACCACAGGUCUGUAGCUGUUUGUAAUGCGCUGCUUUUUCGACGUUUGUCCAGAGUGUUGAGUUUGCUGAACACCGUUAUCGUCAUAUGUUGACAUGGAGUUACAGGAAGUCGAGAGGUGCUGCUGUGUAGUUAAAGUGUCGGAGGCAUUUUCAGCAAAGAAACCUGUGAGCUGCAGCGGAGUUAUCGUCCAUCCUCAAACUGGAACUGUCAUAUGCACCGGCCUCCCUUUUUCACGGUUUAUUACCAACGGGGAGCUCCUCUCCUCGAACUGCGGGUUCCUGUCACCGCACAGCUUCAGCGACAAACUUAAAAUCCGCGUCAGCGUUUCCGCUCGGCGACAUUUGGACGCCAACCAGAGCGCGCAGGGAGAAGCAUUCACACCCCCCAGGAGCAAAACAACACGACAACGGGAAGUUGCAGCCGAGUUGCUUAUGCUGGUGAACUGUGUGGAGUUCAAUCAGGCUUUCCAGGCAGUUUUCCAAGAGGCUGACCAGUGGCGUUUCCAUGGCGAUGAAGAGGAUGAGGAGCUGCUGAGAGAUGCCCAGUUCCUCAGCUGCUUCGCUGUACUCAAGACAAGUGUGGUGGUGGACGGCAGCUCAGAUUCACCGACCAUCCCCUGGCAGAGCAGCUCAUCCCUGCAGAAAGGCUGUCCAGUUGUUGCAUGUGGUUCACCUUUUGGCUCCCUCUGCUUGGAUCUCUUCAUCGGCACCCUCAGCAGAGGUAUCAUCAGCAACCUUGCGGGAGAGGACAACGCCGUCAUCCUCACAGAUGCCCGCUGCUUGCCAGGCACAGAAGGUGGAGGGUUGUUUGUGGUGAAAGGUGCAGAAGAUGUGCGUCUCAUUGGGCUCAUCGUGUCUCCGUUUGGCUGGAAGGCGAAUGAGUGGAUAGGCCUCGCUCUGGUCUGCUCAGUCCACUCCAUCUUCAGGAACAUCAUCCACUGCACGAGCACCCAAGAUCCGCUCCGAGAUGUUUGGCUCCAUCAGGGGGAAACGGGCCUUCGCAUGUCCACCACUGCUCAAGGGUCAAAAGCUGUUAAAUACCCCACUGUGUGCUUUGUGGACAGUGGACGGUUCUGGGGCUCCGGGGUUGUUGUCACCUCUCAGCUGGUUGUGACUUGCAGACAUGUUGUCAAUGGGAAGUCAACAGUCACCCUGAAGUUUCAUCACAAGGACAGGGUCCGUAAUCUCAUUGGCGAUGUCCUGUUUUCCACUAAAGUGUCUUCACCCUAUGAUCUGGCUUUGGUGCGGCUUAGAGGCUCCAUCCCAGAGGCAGUUGUCCCGCAAAUGUCGCAGACUUAUACUCCAGGUGAAUCUGUGGUUGUGGUGGGAUACGGUGGGCUGGGUCGGCGCUGUGGUCCGUCACUGACCAGCGGCGUCCUCUCCAAAACCAUCCGCUUGAAUUACGAGCCCAUCAUGCUCCAGACCACUUGUGCAGUACAAGCAGGGACCAGUGGGGGUGCUGUGGUGCAGAAACACUCAGGAGAGCUGCUGGGUAUCGUGUCCAGCAACACAAGGGAUUUGGCUGCAAGUGUUACCUACCCGCACCUCAACUUCAGCAUCCCGGUGGCUGUUUUCCAAAAACUGUUGCAGCGGUUUCAUCAGACAAAGGAUGUAAAUGUCUUCAGGGUGCUGGACACCACAGAAAAAGAAGUGAGAAGAGUGUGGAGGCUGCAAGCAGGAGGAAGAUUCAGCAUAAUAAGCUGACAGGCUGCUGAAAAGAAAAUGAUUGGUCCCUUUGGGUAGCUGGAGGACUGCUGUCGGUAUCAGGUUUGCUGUAUUACCCCCCCGUCUAAUGCACACCAGUGCAUCAGCUGACUCAAGGUGCAGCAGCCAUUUCCACCCUUAAGACACUUGGUGACAUGAAGCACAAGGCGACUGAGGUAGUAAUGGGGGCUAGAGGACAGCAGGUAAGGGGGAAACGACGUAUCUUGCGAUUCCAUUUAACCAGACGCUUACACCAAAGAAAUGACAAGAGGUGGCACACAAAAGAUAAUCCUGCCUUCUAAUAGCAACACAUUUGUAAAUAAAUCUUGUCGGUAGUGAGCGGCUACAAUGCUGGCACGGCAUUGUGUUGUGAGUACAGAAGCAUAAGGUGGCUGCCUGAGCCUCAUGUUAACUUAACAGGCUUCCACGGAUUAAAGCAGUGCCUGCAAUGAUGACGUUUCCAUAGCAACAGGCUCUCUGUGGUCUGGGAAUCAUUUCUGGGUUGACUGUGAUUUGCAGCUCAAUCUGGUGUUUCUGAGAACUCUCUCCCUCUCAGUAUCUGAAAACCCCCGUUGUGCAAUCAUGUUUAUCAACCUGCCUUUUUCUUCCUUCUUUUCACCUUCCUUUGUCUUCUUCUCAUAUUAGACAUCUUCACUGUGUACUUGUAAUCUUGCUCUGCCUGUGCUUAUUAUUUCCCUCCUUGCAUCCACUCUUUCUUCAUUCACUCUCCCUGAUGCACCUACCUACUUACAUUUUUACUUAUUUUUUUAAGUCUCUCCUUUGGUGUUAAACUAAUGCCUGCAGCAGAAAACCUUUCCUAAUUAGGCUCCCUGUGCUUCAGACUAAUCCAAUCCACAUUUGCAUGAGGUUUAUCCCUGCAGAGCUCAGGCCACAUCCUCAUCAUCAGCCCUCUUAUCUACUAUUUACACACUCAGCCUCUAAGGUCAUCGGUGCUACGUUGUCUUCGAGGUAGCAGUGAAGCACAUCUCUCUUAUUUAUAAUUGUAAAUGCACUUAAGCAAAAAUUGUCUUGUCAUUACUGCUUAAUAUGAUGCAAGGGGCACCAGGUAAUUUGGCAACCUGUAGCUUUUACAUUAUUGUUUUUUAGGGAUGUACGAUGACACUGGUUUGAUGAAUGAUGGAGGAAAUAUCGACCCAAAAUAAACAAUGACAGGCAGAAAAGAUGGAGACGUUACAUAAAAAUGAAUAUGGCAUGUCUUAAAAGAAGAAGAAGCCUUCAUUUGUCAUGAGCACAGUACAGCACCGUGACAUUCAUUUCUUUGCAUUUCCCAGCUUGUUAGGAAGCAGAUACGGUUCUGGCCAGUUCAUGUUUUCAUCUCUGCAAGGGCAGACAUGAUGUAAAUUCCAUCAUCCAGCCAAAUCCAUGAGGGUUGCGGGCCAAAAUUUGUGACAGCGUCGACUGCAAACCAACCGUGCAAGUGCAAGGGAAACAAAUGAUGCUCAAAACAAGUGUUUGGUAUGAGGAUAGACUGCUCGUAAUCAUCCAUACCUGUAUAUUCCUAGAUUAAAGCAGUUGUACCUAAAGUAGUUGCUGUCGCACUUUGGAGAUGCUUUUAUCUGAACAUGUUUUCCAUCAAUAAAGCCUAAUCACAGUAGCAAGUCCUGCUAAGUUCUCCAGAAGUCUACGUCUGUCCACAGUGCUCAACACACUGAGGCUUGAACCCUUUAACAGUAACUCAGAGCCUCAACCAUUGAGCUACCACUGCCCCUGUUUAGCUUUCUAAUUUUGGCAAGUAAAUAUGUACAUUUGAAAAGGAUUGUAUUUAAUUUCUGCACCUGCCAGUGGGCCAUGACGAUAUGAGUAGCCAUAAUAUGUUAGUUAAACUUCUGGACAAUCUUGAUGUUCUCUGCAAUUAGGUGGAAAUAAUAGGUGCAAAUAUCAGCUUUGGCAAUCGGCCAAAAGGAGUUGGAAAAUAGCAUAUCAGGUGUUAGAAAUAAUCCAAUACAGUGCAUCCCACAGUAAAUUACAAUACAAUGCGAAUGUGGCUUUAGCUUUAUAGUUAGUAUAAAGACAUGUAAAUGGUCUUCUCAGCAGAGUCUUGGCAGGAAUGUGACUAUUUCCCAAAAUGUCUAACUUUAACAAUAAAAAUGUUGAUUACUGCAGCUUUAUGUUUUCUAAAAACCAUUACUGCAUGCACAAAAUGUGGAAGGAAGAAAUAAUGGGGAAAUAACUAACAUGCUAGAGCAGGAGUAGCCAACACGGUGCCCGCGGGCGACUGAUUGCCCGCAGAGACCAUGUGAGUUGCCGGCGACUAGUCACCAUGAAAUUCCUUAUUAAAAAAAUUAAAGCUGCUGUUCUUUUUAAAUAAAAAAUACUUACAUUAAUGCAGAUUUUAAAUUACAAUAUUUAUUAUAAUUUUUUUUCUUUUUUUUUUUUAAAAACUGUCUUCGGUGUAAAUGAACUUUGACCUUGUCCGAGUCAAAGUUCACUGCGCAUGUCAAACCACCACGUCGCUCUGCGGAAGCGUCCGGACGCAGACACUUUGGGAAGCUAGAUAUGGAUUUUACCACCAAAACAUGACAGAGAAGUGAAAGAGAAAACACUGUUUUCACGAUGACUGGGAGGAAGAGUUCUUUUUCACGACAGUGAAAGAUAAAUGUAUGUGUCCUAUUUGCGGGGCGACUAUUGCGUCGGCAAAGCGGCACAAUGUGGAGAGAUUCUACUUUAGCCGCCACAAAAGCUUCCAUGCUAACUAGCCACCUGCUAGCGCACAUAGACUGUAUGCGCACUAUGGACAGGGAAAGCCCCGGACUUAACAGCAGCUUUGGCAUCUGCUACGCGGCGAAAAGUCUGUUCGUGACGACGGACAGGGCUCCUCCAUGAUGGGUCGCCAUGCAGGCUUCGUUGUACGAUGCAGAGGUGAUCCAGACUUCCCAACAUUCCUACAUUACCACUGCGUCAUUCACCAGCAGGACAUAUGUAUGUACAAAAGUGGCCGGAUUUGAUCAUGUGAUGACUCAUGUCGUGAAGAUCAUAAAUGGCUCCAAAGCCAAACAACCAGGACAUUGAAGGUGCUGCUGGAGGAGCUGUCAGCUGAACAUGAUGACCUGUUACUACACACAGAAACCCCAUGGAUCAGCAGGGGAACAGUUUUACAGCGUUUUUUGUCACUGUUGGCCGAAAUCAGAGAGUUGAUGCAAUCCAAAGGGGAAGACACCUCGCUGCUUGAGGACACUGAGUGGAUUUUUGCCCUGGCAUUUUUAACGGACAUCACUGGGAAACUGAACCAUCUGUACUGUGAGCUGCAAGGUAAAGGUAAGACAUGAUAAGCUCUGCAAUGCCAGGCUUCCCACUAACACACAUUUACAGACAGAGAAAGAGUUAAGAUGUUGUCAUUCAGAACACCGUGUCGUUACACAAAAAUGUGAAAAAUAAUUUGUUGAAAACAUGUAAUGAUUUGUUGUUAUGAUCUGUUAAAAAUGUUGCAAUGCUGGUGAAAAAUGCUGGUGAUUAGUACUAAUGUGAUAGGAUUCAUUUCAAAAUGUGAAAGAGAUGAUUUUUUUCUUACAUAACUGAUAAUUUGUACAAACAUGGGACAGAGUUCAUGAAUUGUUCAAAAAUGUUACAAAGGUAGUGGUUUGCACAAAUGAAGCAUGAUUUGAUGACAGUUAAUCAUUUCCUUAAAAUGUUAGAAGUGAUAAUUUGCACAGAAAUGUAACUGGUGUGAUUUUGAACAAAAUGCUGCAAAUAUGCUGAUUCAUACAAAACUGCCAAGAAAGAUAUUUACAGAAGUUUCAGAGAUGGGAUACCUCUGACUUUAAAAUACUGGAACAGAUUUCCAUAUAUAAGUGUGUGUGUGUGUGUGUGUGUGUGUGUGUGUGUGUGUGUGUGUGUGUGUGUGUGUGUGUUUCCUACCGUCAUUGUUGUGGAAAUCGUUAACGAUUAUUGCAAGGAAUAAUUAACAUAAAUGUGAUCAGACAGUCUUUUUACAUAUUAUUUUCAUUAUUAUUAUUAUUAUUGUUUAAAGAUGAUGGCGCAAGUUUGCUAUUGAGGAAGUUUGUAUCAAACAAGGUGCCCUUCGUACUACUCAGUACCCUUGAAGUUGCUCUCAGGUUCAAAAAGGUUAGUGACCCCUGCGCUAGAGUGAGGAUUUAUUUUGGGGCAUAGUUAGGCAAAGUUACAUCAUGGAGAUUCAGUGGCAAGACAAUGAUGUGAGGCUUUUCUUCUGAAUAUUGGUUUUAAAUACAAGAAGAGGUAGACUCCGUGCUGAAGUCUGAGUAUGUGGGGUUCAGAAUGUGACAGAAGCAACCAGGUCGCUUUAGAUGGGAGAGCAGGAAGUUACACUGGACAAAUUUGUGAAGUGUGAUGGUGAGAAGGGCAGCAGGAGUCCUUGGAGGACUGAGAUGCCUGUUUUUGGAAAUUGUGAGGUGUAGCAAUGCAGACACACGAUGAAAAUGUUUUAAUAGCGUUGGAGAUGUCUUACAGCAGCCAGGAUUUUUCCAAAAAACAGAAAAGAGCCGCUUGAUCGUCUUCUUUUCAGCUGGUGGGUGGUGUGUGUGUGUGUGUGUGUGUGUGUGUGUGUGUGUGUGUGUGUGUGAGUGUGAGUGUGUGUGUGUGUGUGUGUGUGUGUGUGUGUGUGUGUGUGUGUGUGUGAGAGUGUGAGUGUGUGUGUGUGUGUGUGUGUGCGUGCGCGUGCUUCCCAAACACCAAUAUCUAUCAAUGGCCUCAAGAGGCAUUAAACUCUAAACCUUGUGGAGUGUGGACUCGGCAUGUUCUCCUAUCUCCUUACUGUCUGCCAUUGAUCUGAUCCCACUGAUUUGCCAGAAAGCGUCCAUUCACCAUUCACCUGGUCUCUCCGGCCGAUAUUGGCUUCUGGAAAUUCCACUUGAAAGUGUACGAGGAUCAGGUCUUUCGUGACUGCUGCACACAAGCGCUUGAGUGUGGGUGCGUUUGUGCAUGUACGUGUGUGUGUGUGUAUAUAAGCUUGUUUGUCCUUAUGAUUCCAAAUUACAACUGUUCCCCUGCGGUGUUUACAGUGUUAAGAGCGAGGCCAUUCAAUCAGUAGCCGGACUGAUGAAUCGACCGCAGAAAUCAGCUGCAAAUUACCCUGACCUCUCCCUCACACAGCACUGAGUUAGCUACAGCGGAGUCAGCUGCUGUGGUGCCUGAAUGCAAAUUUCCAUCUCGGUCUGUUGUCAGUGCGUCGACUGUUUAUGCGUUUGCUUGUGUUGACAGUUCUAAAAGCUCCGUCUUCCUCGCCACGGCGGUGUAGCGGUCUGGCCUGCCUGGCUGAGAAAUGAGGCCUGCAGGCACAGAGCUCGGGAGUAAAGACAUCACACUGAUUUAGUAAUGUCUCAGAGGGACAAAUCUCCUCUUUUCACUCCUUCGCUUCAUUAGGUCACUCAUAAAGGAAGGCAGAUCAAUGGAGGGAGAUAGCACACUCGUGUCAAAAUGAGAGAAAGGGAAAUAUAGAUGAAGGGCUUUAUGCUGUGUGAAAUGAAAGUAGUGAAGUACAAUUCAUCUGACAACCUGAGGCAAGCAUUUUUUCUUUAAGUUUCAUAAAAACUGAAGAUACAGAUGUCACUUGUGAAGUUGAUUUAUAUUGGUGGGGCUGACUGUGAACCGAGGCAACCGUUUGUGAAUUAUUUUAUCUCCUCUGCCAUACAAGAGCAUCCAUAUUGGGCAGUUCAGUAAAACCGAGGAUAUUUUCAGUGGUAGCAUUUUUUUUAUCAUUCAAAUUCUACUAUAUUUUCCAUUGCAACAAAUCCAAAAGAAAAAAAAUAAAUGACUGAUUGUGUAAAGAACAACUUUGGGCUAACAGAGAUCAUGUGUGUUUGUAUCAGUCGUCGCAUGGAACAGCAUGAAACUCCUGGCCUUUAUUUCUCCUACAGUCUGGAUGUAUCAUAUUAUUGUGCAAGUAAUUUUGCAGCCUAAUGACUCCCUUCUUCUUGUAUCCUUCCUUGGGAACUGACAGCAUCCUCUCUACAGAAGAGCAGAGUACAAAGACUCCCUUUUAUGCUUCCUUUGUUCCCCUGCAUCCAACAGUAUCAUACUCUCCCACACGCGCCAAGUUGCUUUCACCCCCAAGUCCACAAUUUCCUCAUCACCAACCUGCCUCGGAGUUGGCAGGAAUAAUGUUGAUGUCAGUAGCUUUACACUAAAUCAAGGCGUAUUAGCUCCCACCCCUGUCUCUCCCGCUUCUCAUGCUUUUACGUGUCUCCCUGGCCUUUUAUUGGAAACCAUAAUUAGUCCUUCAUUAAGCUCUUGGAAAUUGUGCUAAUGGACUCUGCCAUACAGCUGACUUCAUUUAAGCUGCAAAUCAAGCGACAAUGGUUGAGGACAUGACUCUGUGUCAUGACUUCAUCUGGCAGAGGCUCAAUUAGGGCCGGAGUUGUAGCAGGAGUCUACGAGGAGACACCGGACACUGGGAGAACAAGGAAUAAGCCGAGCCAAGUGGUGAUGGGUUGUUCAGCAUCUCCUGGGGAAGACGCAUCAGAUCCGCUCGAGCAGAUAAAACAGAGUGCUAACAUCUUUCAGGCUUUUCACUGAGGAACCACUGCAAGUGAGGACAGCGAGUGCCUGACCCCAGAGUACACAACAACACAAAACAUACACUGCCUAAUCCAUUGAGCUGCUGAUGGUCUGGGAAGCAUCGCAGGUCAGAUACAGGCCACAGAUGCUGUCUCUAUGCAGCUGAUGACAUUAAAAUUUAAUAAAUCUUGUGGCUUAGCUUUCACUGCAUCAGCAAGCAUCCCAGGCGCCUUUUUUUUCCUUCUAUUUUGUCUGUAUGUAUGGAUUUAUAGCCUAAUUGUACCUACAUUUUAAGUGCAUAAUGACAUAUUUUGAGCACAGAUCAUGAAAAAAUGUAUGCCCAUUGUAAUAAUUUGUGCCAUCAAAUUAGUAAAUCAUGCUUUUAAUUUAGCCUAGCUUUGCCUUCUCUUGUGUGUGCCCUUUAAAAUCUUGUGAUGUACGAUAUGCAACAUAACUGAGUAUAAACCUGUGCUUAAAUGUCAAAUGAUUCAAAAUUGUAUCACCUUAGAGGAAUAGUAUUACCUCUAAGUUGAACAGUAGGGUGUUUACUUCCAUAUAAAAUGAAAAAUUGACAGUUUAGAUUUACUAUUUUUUUUUUAAAACAGUCCCCUUAGCUCAGUGCAACAAAAGUCAAUUCAUCACUGAGAUUCAUUUUUUUUCCCAGUACUUUUAUUGUUCUGCUAUUCUUCAAAGACAAUAUUUUUUCAGCUACUCUCUGCUGGAGGGGUUGUGUUGCUCUACCUUUCUUUUUAAAAUACCACAAAGGCGCUUUAUUAAAUUCAAAUCAGGUGACACACUUGGCCCGGUCAUAGUUUUUACUUUUUUCUUCUUAAGAAUUUUGAUUUUGGCAGCGUGCAUUGGAUCGCAAUCAUGCUGGAAUAAUUCUCUUCUGCCAAGCUUCUGCAGACUGGGAGUUUUCCAGUAUUUAGAUUUUUUUCAUGAUCUAUAGCCACAGGGCCUCAUGGUGCCAUCUAUUAAUGUCAUUUUCUUUGCACCACGGGGCGUCGCAUCAUCACAAUCCCACUCUUGUGCUUCACUGUCAGGACAAUGCAUUCACUGUGGUAGUCCUGACCACAUUAAUGCCAAACAUACGGAGCCCCAUCUGAGCUGAACAAAUUUAUCCUGGUCUCAUCUGUGCACAGAAUGUACUCCCAAUAUUCAUCAGGCAUUUUUUUUUAAAAAUCCUGUAGCAAUGUUCCAUCUUGUAGCUUUGUGCUACAGACACUGUCCAUAGAAAUUGACAUUACGAGAAGUCAUUCAAAAAUAAUGACAAAAUCCGAUCUCCUUUACUCUUUUUCCUUGUUUGUGAAGUCAUGCUUUAAGCAAAGACAUAACAGAGUUUCACAAUGGCAAGCUGAAAAAUGACUUCUAAAGCCCAGCAGGAGACUGUAUGAGUCAGUGACUGACAUAAACAGAGGAAAUAAGUACCUGCAUGUAAAAACAUAGUCCUGCAAGCUAUAGACCUGUAGAUUUAAAGUACAUUAUACUUUCAUGGACCUUUUCCAUUUUCACUUUCAUGGGAGAAAAUGCAUCAAGAAGAAGGACUAUAUACAUAUACACACAUAUAUACACACACACACACAUAUAUAUAUAUAUAUAUAUAUCACCCUGAUGACAUUGAUUUAGUCAUAAUCUUCUUAUAAUUAGGCUGGUCUUAUACUUAGGCCAACCUUGUAUAUUUGUUUUAAGAAAUCAUCAUCAAACACAAGACUGAAAAUAUUUUGCAAUCACUGAAUUUGUGUUUACUAGUAAUAAAACUAGAUUAAGGAACUAAAACACACACUUUAUUGACUUCAUAAUAAUUUCUGGAACUGUUCUGCUCAUGAUAAGUUCAUGAUUUCCUUUUCAAAAGAUAAUUUUUGUACAGGAGUAACACACAAAUAGGAAGCCAUAAUAUACCAAUUUGCCACAAUGAUAAAACCACAAUACUGUGUGCAGUAUUGUGCUGUAAAAGCAGUUCUCACCCAUCAAGGUAUGGACUACACAAGAUGUUUAAAGGCAUUCUGUCGUAUGAAGUACAAAGAUGUCAGCAGUGAACCCUUUAAGCUCUGGAAGACUUUGCAACUGUGGGGCUUGCUUUCUUCCCAUAGUGCAUCUUGUUUUUAUCUCUUCCCCAGGUAAACAGUUCACAGAGACAUUGCCAUCCACAUGAUGUAAAAAAACAACAAAAAGCAUGAUUCAAAAGACCGGAUUCCUGUCUUUCAUCUCUCCAUUGUCCAGUUCUGUCAGUGCUAAUGGUGGUGGAUGUCUGACCGGUUUGUGGCUACAAAGCCCCAUAUAUAGCAAGCUGUGAAGCACUGCGUGUUCUGACACCUUUCUAUCAUAGCCAGCAUGAAGGUAUUCAGCAAUUUGUGCGACAAUAGCGUUUCGGAUGGAUUGAACCGUCACAUCAAUGAGCCUCCACCACCCAUGACCCCAUCUCCAGUUGUCAUCCAGCCAUCACAAUGUGACUGUUGUCAAAAUUUCUAAAAUCCUUACUCUGGCCCAUUUCCCUGCUUCCAACUUCAAGAACUGUGUUCACUUGCUUUCUAGCACAUCCCACCUCUGAAAGGUGCAGCUGCAUCGAGAUAACAAAGUCAUUCGCUUCACCCGUCAGUGGUUUUAAUGCUGUGGCUGAUUGAUGUAGAUGAGCCUUUAUCAAAUUAGCGAAAAACCAACAGAAUACUUUAAUGUUCAGUUACAUUCAGGAUCCCAACUAACCACACAGUGACGCAGAAAGAAGACAAUGUGAGACUUACUGUCAUUGGAACCUUGAUUUUCAUCCCAAGUACGCACGUAAUCAUCCUGCAGAAACAUGGAGAAAACAAUCGUUUAUUAGCAGCUGCAGAUAAUCAAGAUCAACAUUAUUCACACUGAGCGCACGGUGUUGUUGAUACUAUAACACAUGAACACUGUCAUCAUCACAGGAGAUGUAAUGUAGUUUGCAUUAUCUCUGCAUACUGAUUAUAAUGUGCACAAUGGCAUGAUAACUAGCUAAGUGAGUCACACCGGAGACAGAGGGUGUGUACUGUGGCUGUAUGGAAGUGAGCGCAACGAAUCUGCACUCUCUGCCUAUAUAUGUGAGACAUAUGGUAUCAAGGUGAGCCGCCUUUUAGCCGGACGGCCCUUUUCCCCCCAUUUAAUUAGAACAUUAAUCGUUCUAAUUAAAAUGGGCAAGCUGAAGGAAGCGCUGGGUAAAAAAAAAAUACAGAGAGAGAAGAUGGAUGGAGAAGCAAUGAUAAAGACACAUGAAAAGACAACUAAAUGAGUCAUGAAUAAAAAAGACAUUUCACAAAGGCAGCUAAAGGAGCUUUGCACAAAAAAGUGAAGAAAACUGACCUCUACCUCCUGGUGAGAUGACAGCAAAAGGAGAGAAAAGAGUUAUAUUAUUAGUGAAAAAGAAAAAUGUAGUUUAUUAUACAGCAUAUUGGGCUGUAUUCAGUGACAGUAUUCAGUGAAGAGUUGUAUGUUCAUUUCAGAGCACCCGAAUAUUUAUCUGUGCAAUUAACCAACCAUGACUUCAAAGGCAACUGUGAGUGAUAAAGUUAGUGAUAAAAAAAACACACAUUUUGUCACACCACAUCAACUUUUCCUAAACCUUUUUCAGUUCAGACCAGUAAGAAAAUCAAGGGAAAGAGAGAAAAAAAUCCUGCUAAAAUUAUUUAGGAAAAAUAUGUUAUCAGGUUCUUUGAUUUUAAACAAAUACAAAAAGAAUGAAGAAAAUUCACACAUUGACAGUAUAGACCAGGGGUGUCAAACAUGCGGCCUGCGGGCCACAAGCGGCCCACCAGAGGGUCCAAUCUGGCUCGCAGGAUGACUUUGUAAAGUGUAAAAAUUACAGAAAAGACAUUAACUGCAAAUUAUAAAUUUGUAAAACUAUAAAUAAAUUAAAAUAAUUUCUAGACCAUGACAGGUUGUUUUGAUCAUAAAGUAAAAUACUAUCAUUGUUCUUUUGUCAUUUUGUGUCUCAUUUUUGUAAUAUUUUGUCGUUUUUGUUGUUUUUUUGUCUUUCUUUUGUCUGACUUUUGUCGUUUGUGUAUCAUUUUUGUCGUUUUGUGUUUUUUGUGUCGCUUGCGUUUGUCUAUUUUUUUUGUCGUUUUGUUUCUUGCUUUUGUUGGGUUUUUUUUCUUUUUGUCUCACUUCACUUCGUCUUAUUUUUGGCAUUUUUUUGUCAUUUUUGUCAUUUUGUGUUUUUUUUGUCUUGCUUGCAUUGUUUAUCUAUUUGUUUGUCAUUUUGUUUGUCUUUUGUACAUUUUUUUUCACUUUGUAACUUUUGUAAAUUUUUUUGUCGAAUUUGUGUUUUGUUUUGUGUCGUUUGUUUCAUUUUUGUCGUUUUGUGUAUCGUUUUUUGUCUUUUUAUGUCUUGUUUUUUUGUCAGUUUUUUUCUGAUUUUUGUCAUUGUGUUCAUAAAAUAAAAUACUAUAUCAUUCAGUUCCAGAUACCUAUGACUAAAUGUUUCGUGCCUUUGUAGAUAUUCUGUGAUCUGUAAGUUGUAAUGUGUAAAUGAUAAGCUGACACAUAAUGUUGUUGAAAUUUCACUUAUUUUUCUUAAGAAAUUUCAGGUUGUUCAUAAUGUUUUGUAAAAAGAUAGUUCAUUAAAUGUGAACUUUUUUGCACUAAGAAAAAGGGAAAAAUUUGGAGUUGUCGUUAUUUUUUAUAGGUUAUUAUGCUGUGAUUUUGCUGCUCACUUGAGAUCAAAUUGGGCUGAAUGUGGCCCCUGAACUAAAAUGAGUUUGACACCCCUGGUAUAGACCCCAAAACCUUCAAAUUCAUAAAGAUAUAAAUGCAUUAAAUUAAACACAAAUCUAAUUACAUUUGCUUCAGAUGUAAGUGAAACCCACAGAAGAUGGUGCAGAUGUAAAGAUUUUGGAGCAUAUUGCUACGUCUGAAAUAAUUAACGAGUCAUUUCAAGAUAUUUACAGUCGGCCACCACCCCUCCUUAGCGAUGACUUACUCAUCACCGUAAACAUUUACUGUACUGGAAGCGUGUGCCAAACAGCUCCCCGGAAGGCGAUAAAUCCCGACACAACACGUGAAACAAGCAGCCCUUGUUAAAGCUGGGACCUUCUUCUUUGACCCUCACAGUUUUAUUUCACAGAGGUAAAUAUUUUCAUUGCUGGCGAGGACUCCAUUGGUGAACUGAAAUCUACCAAACUGCGCUCCUGUUGCUCCACUCAUCCUCUUUCUCGCUGCACUGCCGAGCUCAAUCGCCCUUCUCGGUGACAAAAGAAUCACUUCUCAUGAACUGGCCUCGGUUUGGAUCUUAACUCGACACUUCAGGCGAGCUCCGUGAAUGACUGUGGGUUGUGUAGUUUAACCUUGUUGAUCCUGAUGGAGUCGAGCAUUAGCAGGGCAAGACCUCAAAGAGUUUAAGGCCUGGUCAUUAAUCUGAUCUCUCCCUUGCCUCCUUUAUCGAUGCUUCAGUUCCUGCAUUAUUUAGCAGCCUUUCUGUAUUUGUGUUUCUGCCAGGACCAAUGAGGAAGCUGUCCCACUGCGUUGACAGGACUGGAAAUCAAUGAUUUCAUAAAAGAGAGGCUGCAGAAAAUGUAUUCUGGGAAAAUAAAUUCUCCUGAGUGUACAAUGAAAGUGAGCAUGAAACGUGGAGCAAGGUGACAAGUUUGGCACACGGCGGCAGCAAGGUUACAUCACUCGCAUGUGAUUCAUCGACCAAAAAUUCUGAUGAAAAGGCUGCUGCUUUUUACACAGGAGCGAUUAGAGGAAGCAGGCUGAGAGUUGAAAACGCUCAGCUGCAUCCAGGAGCUCUGUGAUCUAGCUGAUAACAUCAGAAAGAUCUCCUCUUGUUAAACAGAGCGGGGAAGCUCACCCUCCACAUCAAACAUGGCAAAUGUUCACCCUGCUGCCGAGCUCCACAAUACUGACUGACAGAUCACAAUCCGUCACAUCUGUGGGGGGAGGAUCACAACCCGAUGAGCUGUCCGCUGAAAAAUUGGGUUCAACUCAGGAGGAACUGCACACUGUCACAGAGAUCUGUCAAAAAAAAAAAAAAGUUUGACAGACAGAGACUGCGCUUGUGGUUGACUGGAAAAAAAGGAACAAACAGGGAAGUGGUUGAAAUGAAUGUGUGGGUGUAUGUGUGUCUGAUGGAUCAUAUGUGUGACUGACAUGUUUCUGGGUAAAUGUCAGCUGUCAGAUGCACUCUGUGUUCAUUGCGCUUAUCCUGAGGGGUUUGUUCAUGGUGACUGCAGAGUGCAUCACGGCCUCAUCAGUAACAAAGGACGCGGUAAUAACACUCGGCUGUGGAGAACUGAGUGUUUAUACUUGACCUUUUUGUGAGAUUUUUGUUAAUACUGGCCUCCGGUGGAUUCAUCAAACUCAUGCUGAAACUCCCAGAGUUACAAUGUAAGCACAGCACUCCAACAGGCGCCGCACAAUUCACACCAUGACAAAAUAAUUUCAGCCCACACAGAUCCCAAUCUCUGGUUUUCAUGUAUGACAGUAGGUGAAACCUUUUUUUAAGCGAGGUGAAAUGCCUUAGAGCUGCUGCACGCUAAACUCAAAUGUCAAGGGAGCUCCGAAAUGUAAGUCAGUUUAAACUUGUAAUGUAAACUCGUGCAGAAUUUAGAUUUUUAGGCGCCCGUUCCUUGAAAUAGAGCAAGUCAGUGUGUGGUUGCUGGAAUGUUACUUGAGCUUUUAAUGUUUUUUAUGCACAUCCUGAAAAACUUAACAAAUCCUGCGAUUUGAAUAGUUUAUACAUUGCUAAUCAAUGCCACCCAAAAUGACACAUUCAGGCAUUUUCUGAUCUGAUUCCGUAUGAACAGGAUACAAACUUUCUGAUUUGAUUCUAUAUGGUCAAAGUUUGGUUAAGUUAGGCGCGGGUUAGGGUUUAAAAAUGAUCAUGAUUUGGGUAAAAUGAUUUUGUUUGAGGGCUGCACAGAGGCGUAGUGGUUAGCACUUUCGCCUUGCAGCAAGAAGGUCCCUGGUUCGCGUCCCGGCUUUCCCGGGAUCUUUCUGCAUGGAGUUUGCAUGUUCUCCCUGUGCAUGCGUGGGUUCUCUCCGGGUACUCCGGCUUCCUCCCACAGUCCAAAAAUAUGCUGAGGUUAAUUGAUGAUUCUAAAUUGCCCGUAGGUGUGAAUGUGAGAGUGCUUGUUUGUCUUUGUAUGUAGCCCUGCGACAGACUGGCGACCUGUCCAGGGUGUCCCCUGCCUUCGCCCGAGUCAGCUGGGAUAGACUCCAGCCCCCCCAUGACCCUAGUGAGGAUUAAGCGGUGUAUAGAUAAUGGAUGGAUGGAUUUUGUUUGAGUUACAAUAAUAACCAUUCAGUUAUGAUUAGGGAAUGAUCAUAGCUAAAAGAAACAUUGAGUGUUAGUAGUAAAUGGGAAACUACUAGUGAUUGUGCUAAAGUCAAUGUUUUGCUGACCUAUCCAUCCCCCUCUACCUCCCCCCUCUGUGGACUUCCUGGCUUGCCUUACACUGCUAUAGCCUACUUGAUAUGAACAUAUAUUGAUUUUUGGCACUUUCUGAAAAGACUAACGCCGAUGCUUUUAUUCUGGAGGAGUGUCUCAAAUAUGUAUUUCCUCAUGUAAUGAAGGAGACAAUCAAGCUGGCAAGAGUUCGACGAGUUUGACAGUCCAGACACUCAACACUAAAGGUCCCACUCAUUUCCAGAUUCAUCAGCCCACCACUUCUGCUGCUGAAGUUUACUUUUUUUUUUUUGAAAUCCUCUUUCCAAUCAAGUCUGUCAACAGUGAGAGGUCCUCAAGCAAAUACAAGAACCCGCUUCAAAGAUGAGAACCACUGAGAGAUGAGGGUGCAAAGAGGCUGACCACGCACAGUGAGAACUGGAAACAUCAAUUGCCUGAUCAGCGAGCGGUAGAACAUCCUAAUUAUAGCUUAAAAUAGCGAAAAAGGAGUGGUUUUAGUGUCUUAGAAAUAGUGCAGUGUUUACAAGACAAUGUUUUAUUUUACAUCAGUGAAGGCACACCACUGAAAUACUGUUGGAUUUUUGUUCUAACGUCCCAAAUCAAAUAAAGCAGCUGAAAUCAGAACAUUAUACUGCCCUGAGCUUUUUCACAGCAGCCUCUGGGCACUAUAAUUUGUUAACAUGUAUAUACGAUGCUACAAACUGCAUCAUAUCAAUUCCUCCCACCUAGAGACCCACAUAAAGACUCGGUGGCUGUUCAUGGCUUCUCCGCUUUGGUUUACAGAUCACAUGCAACGCGCCUGAGAUGAAACAAACCGCCCUGAACAAUCUUCCCAUUCUGUUCGCUCUCCUCUUAUCUUCAUGCACAAUGAGCCACGGGGCAUGAGUAGCAAGCUUGCUAAUUUGUAUGUCUGCAUGCACAGAGGACUCUAAGCUCAUGAUUCAAGAUCGCAGAGCAGAGGCAGGGCAUCAAAUGCUGCUCUGCUUACAGGAUGAAGCAAAGCUUAUGUAAGAGAACUUGGAAGAAUGGGUGGGAAAAAAGGUGAAACAGAGGUUCGUACAUUUUGGGAACUGAAAUAAUGGCAGGGACAAAGGCAUGAGGAGUUGCAAUAUAAAUUUAAAGUGCCUUGAAAUGACUCACAGGAAAGAAGGGAGGAAAAAAACACAAUUCUUCUAACAAAAAUUACACUUAUCUUUCUGUUUUCCUUUCUUCUAAUCUUUGGUCUUCUCCCAAGUGAGGUACUGGGUAAUUUAACCUCUUACGUCCAAAACAAGAAUUUCAGUCAUAAAAGAAUUUGAAUAAUCCUUUUAGGGUUCUGAAGAUGUAAAAUUGCAAUUUGCAAUCGCAGAGGAAGAAUUUAAGGACCCGGUGUAUUCACAGCAGCCUAUUUCACACCAAACCACAGCACACAAUACACAGCUCAAAUGAUUGUGGACCAUAUGACAGAUCUGAGUUCAGAAAUUGAAGUCUUGGCAACACUGUGCUUCCUGCAUGUUUUCGUACUGUGUAGCGUGAGAUCAUUUCAUCAGUGGGUGUAGCGAAUGAUGCUGUGGUCAGAUCUGUGUCCACACAUGACUAACAUCAAACAGAAAAUGUCCCUCAAGCACACUGAAAUGUCACUAGCUGCGUUUAAAAAAAGCAUUUACACUCGACUAUUGAAAUUCUAAUUUAGAAUUAAUGAUGUGCAUAUCUUAAAACACUCUGGCAGAUGAAUAGACAUAUUGUCUGCAUUGCACUCCUUCUUGCUGGUACUUAAAUGAGUAAUCUCCUUCCUACUGAGGGCAGUGGAUAAAAGGUUUUCAUUUAUGUCUGCACUGAAUGGCGUGACACUUAAGUAGUAUGGAUAUUGUGCAUGCAUAACAAUUCCUUUCCCCAUUCAAGAAGGGCUCUAAUGUCAGUCUCCACACUCAAGUAGAGAAGAGUCACAUCAGAAAUCCUUUGACAGCAAAGGAUGGAUAAAAGGUCAAAUACUGAGGCUGACUGAAAAUUGCACUCAAUUAUGUAAACAGUGAUUGCUUUUUCCUUUCACCAGAUAUGUCUUCAGAGGUACAGUAAAAAAAUGGACUGGUUUCACAGAAUUUGACAGAAAUUUUGAUGCAGUGUUACCAGUUCUUGAACUUUCUUGCUUUAUCCCUGUUGUUUUUGCAAUAUGUGCAACGUACACUCUCAACAGACACAGAUACAGCUAUAAAAAUCACACUUAGUCCACAAAAUCUCUGUGCACUCAUGCCAGCUCUGUACUCACUAUCUAUAAAUAAAAUCAACCCUUGUGCCUUUCAGGGCCCUGCGGGGAAUAAGAAAACAGUCUGCAACUCACAGGAGAAUCUGGUACAAACAGCGAGAACCUUCACACUUCACUGAAAACACCAACUGAAUAACAGACUCGUACAACAAUGGAAAAUCAAUGAAGCUGCCUAGGUAAGGGCUACGAGAAGGAUAAGAAUCAGCCAAUGAUUUGAGACGGGGUGAGUCUAAAACAGUGUAAUCGAAUCACAAUCAGAUCAACAGUAACCAAAAUCUGGCAUCUUGUGCGGAAAAAGCAGACCAGCUGUCAUUUGUGGUGCCUACCAAAUUCAGUCUUGCUCAUAUAAUGCUGCUGAAAUCUCUCAAAAAUAGAUCCGCAUAACUGCUGAAUGUACUUAGAACACAAACGUAUCAGACAUUGUACAUGUCCUCACUUGGCCCGCUGCUGCUGCUAUGCCUGUCAACAAAUAUUUACCAUCAAAAUGUAUUGUAAGCAGCAGAGCCUUGGAUACAGAUUCAAACAGAGGUAGACGGAAGUGGCUUCUGAUUUCUAGCUGGUGACCAUGAAAAGAUUUCAAUCCAUUAAGCUGAUAUUUGAACAGGACAUUUUAACAUAACCUUGGAAAAUAAUGUAGUACGACAUUACUAUAGGUCUUUAAAAAAUGCUCUCAGUUAACUUAGAGCAGGCAAAUGCAUUUUUGUACUUUUGCUUUUGGGUUUAGAGUAGAUAUCGACUGAUACGGGUUUUUCAGUCUGAUACUGAUGCCAAUUCCAGUCGUCCCUCGCCAUAUCGUGGUUCACUUUUUGCGGCCUCACUGUAUUGCGGAUUUUAAAUUGUAUAUAUCUAAUUUUGUAUCAUGGAUUUUUCGCUGUAUUGCGGGAUUUUGCGGUAUAUAGGUGUUGUUAUAUAUUUAUGAUUUUAACAAUUUUUAACAGUAACAUAAGCCUUUUUGUAGACUAAAAAAUUUUAAAACAAUAUAAAAAAUUAUAAUUAAAACAUAUUAAAAGAAUAUUAAAUUGAAAUAAAAUGCGGAGCGUACAGCGCUGGGUGCUGAUUGGCUCAGCAACCGUAGCAUGUGUCCUCCAUCUCCCGUGUAUUGCAUGCAUUCAGCAUCUCGCCUUGUCCAUUUCACAUCGACGAUCGCUGCGCAUAGUGUUGCUCUGCGGUGAUGUGUUUUUGUGAAAUUUUCAUAAAAAAUGUAAUUUAUUUCAAGCCCUAUGAUGUCAAUCAACUGUUCUGCGCCUUCUAAGGCUUCUGGCACCGAACCCAAGCACCAUAAGAAGAUACUUACCAUCGCAGAAAAGGUGGAACUACUUAAAAUAUAUCUAAAUAAUAAAAUGAAUCUACUUCGAGGAUUUUUACCUAUUGCGGGGUUCUGGGACCUGACCCCCGCAAUAGAUGAGGGACCACUGUAUUGGUAAUACAGAAAGAUAUUUGGAACCUAUAUAUAUUUAAAUAGAAUGUUUUAACAGCAUGUGAUAGCAGGGAACCUCAUUUAUAACUUGGCUUCUUCAUUAAUAAGGGUGACUAUAACUGAAUAUGUAAAAUAGAAAUAGUGAUUAAAAUAGGACAGAACGAUAAUUGGGAAAAUGCCAAAUAUCGGCCACAAUACUCAUCCAGGCCAAUAAUUGGUCUGUUCCUAGUUUGGAGAGAUUAAAACGAAGAAUCACCUUUAACUUCUUUAAUGAAGCAUCACUCUCAAUAUAGCACGCUGCAUGAACAGCUCGACCAGCCGUGCCUAGUUACAGUUGCUAAGGUAUGACUGGACCAUAAAUCACGUCCUUUGCAAUAUGUUUCAUGUUGGUUUUCAUCACGAGGUCUUCUCAGCGUCAUCUCAGCUGUGGGUUUCCUCCAGUACAGUAUUUGCGUGCUUUCCUGAGUCUGAUUACUGCGGACAUGUUCUCAGCAAGCCCUCUCUCAGCAGCUCAGUACUAAUCAAAUCCUUUUGUAUCAGCUACUGUACCUACAGGACCUGAUCUCACACCAGCUGUGACUCAGUCCGGCAUAAGCCUCACUGCAUUUACUGUAGAGACAGCUUCUGCCACUUAGAGUUACAGUGAGUUUGAAAAGGAGAAAACUUCCCGUUUUGUGUCUGAAUUUACACAAACUUACAUCCCACUGAUGUGCCAUUCAGACUACUUUGGGGAUUUUGCUGUUGAUAAUAAGUGGGUUGUUUACUGUGUACAUGUUUUCUAACUACAAGUAUCCCACGAAGAGCUCAUUACAGGCAGAUUUCUGGAUGUCAGGUGUUCUCUGCACCAAACAACCUAUUUGGCUCACUGACUCCCAGGUGUAGUUGGUGCAGAAGCAGGUCAUUCGCAGGCUGUAAGAAAAAAUGUUGCGCAAAAAGAACUGUGUCUUUUUUUCCCCCUUUUUUUGCAACUAUUAGUCCCACCUGUAUUGCAGAUGUGGGUGAAGAAGCAUUCAUUCAAUUCUGUAAACAAUUGAAUUCUCUACAAAUUUUGAAAUUUAUCACCCCAUUUAGCAAAUCUGUCUCCACGACACCUGUGCCCUUCAGCUGUGGCUACUGUAUUGCUGUGGGAAGCAGCUGUAGCCCGGCAUGAUGAAAGGCUAUUUCUUUUUCCCUUCUACUCAAUUACAGCCCACCUAGGCCUCUGGCAGCCGGCCGAGACACCCCACAGUGCACCAGUAGUCCGUGUGCAAACCCCCAACAACCACACCACCGCUUCCUGAACGGCUGCAAAAGAUGCACUCCGUCUGCAUUGCCAAAAAGCUCGGGAUGUUUGCGGCCUCGCAGAAAAUCUGGAGAACGAUAAGGAGCGGCUCAUGCCUGAACAAAGCAUGAAUAGAUAGACUAAUGGACUUCUGAUAAGCUGUUAUCAUCAUUCAAAGCAUUAAUGCAUCAGUAGCAGUCUAUUCUAAUAUCACAGAGCGGCUGUGCGAUACGAAAGCCAGACCGGGCGAAGGGCUCAUGGUGAUAAUUUACUGUUUGUCUGGAUAGUCUUUAAUGGAGUAUUUGGCUCCAGUGUUACAGAUGCCAUUAUCCACAAUUAUUUUUGUGUGUCAUAGCGAAAUGAUAAAAAGGAGCAGUGAAGGGAGUUCAAAUUCUGCUGGACGGUUGCCAGUUAAAGCACAUAAGAGGCUAAAAUCAGGCAGGAGAGUAUAGGUAAGCAAGGUAACGCUCCUGUCAAAAUGUUCCCUGAAGAUUGCCAGCAUGGAGCAAAAGAACACAAAAUCACAUCUUAAUAAGAACUGUCAGAACCUACCGCGAGCGCUUCCCCCAUUCUGCAUUUUUAAUCCACUGACAUCGACAAGGGAGCUGAUGUUUUUGUGCACAGAGUGUUUUCUGUUCAUUAAAAAUGAACUGAAUGGAUAGCAGGUGCAGGCAGGAUUGGUACUGGAUGGUCCAGAGCUGCCUGACUAGAGAGGUGUGCGUUUCUAAGAUAAGGGUUUACCAGGCAUAGACAGUGCAGGAUAGAAGAAAACAAGAAAUAGAUGAAACUAAAAUCGCUUCAUAAACACAGAGCCCUUUCUACCGUGUUUAUGCUGGAAUGCAUGAUGGAUGCCAACAAUAAAGAGUCUCCUCCUGCGUGAACUUGCGCUGUCAUGUCCUAAUGAUCAUCCAUUUUUAGGCACAUAUCUGGGCUGAUCAACAGGAAUAAGGCUUCCGAACAAUUUCAUGGCUUGGUGAUUCCGUGGACAGUAUCGUUUUUACGGGGGAAGUUGAGCAAAAAAUUUAAUUUACUGUUGAUUCGCCUUUAGUAGACAUACCAAAUUGGAUCUGCUAUGCAUAAAAAUACAGUCAUCUCCAGUUAUUUCAUGUCACAUUGAAAUGAAAAUAGACAGUACUUCAAUCUUCCCUAUGACUGAGUCUCUGAAUUUCAGUGUGUAUUCAGAAUUAUCCUUUUAAUGGUGCUUAAAAUGGAAAUGAGUAUUCAUAAUCAUAAAACAAAAUGUUUUUCUUGCAUACAUUUUUCCAGCUGCUGCAUGCCUCCAUCAUUACACUCAUUCCAUUUUGAGCUCAAUAUUGUAGCAGUGUUAAGAUGGUUUUUCAGUUAUAUCUUCAAAUGUUGGUAGCCUCAGUUUUCAUAAUGACACUCAAAAGAGCAAAGUGAAGAAAUCAAUAAAGGUACAAUAUAUUUUAAUGAACAGUUAUGUAACCCUCCGAACCCCAAAACACCAGCGGGGGGUUUUAAAUGCAUAUUGUCUAAAAAAGAAUGGCCAAUAUUACACCAUUUGCCAUAGAAAGACACUAUUAAAAAAGGAAGAAUAGUAAAAUUCUUGACCUUUCAAUGGUUCUUGAAGUACUAAUCUGGUACCUGCUGUUUUGUCAGGAAACUUAACUAAAUUUGAAAUUGUAAGAUUUGAUCAAAAUCACUUCAUGCAGCAAGUUUCAUUCUAAAAUUUGAUGAAAAUGAACCAAAAAAUAGAAAUUCUGUCCUCUACUCAACCAAGCAGCCAUUAGUGACCUACACCCAUGUGAUUAAAAUUCAGGGACUUUUCAGCUAAACUGGUCUAAAACUGCAGGUUGUGUUUGCAAAGUGCAGAUAGGAGACACAUAUGGAAACAAGUUAAAAAUAUAAGUACUAAAAUAUGGAUCAUAUGCCAUUUUCCCCCCGGUAAUAGUGAUGCCUGUGUACCCUUGGAAAAAUGCUGUACAUUUUAAUUUUUGUCACAUAAAAAAAAAAAGGAAUUUGACUUCAGUGUAUUCUCUGUUAUGAUUUAUGACAUUACUACUUUGUAAUAUUGUAGAAAAGACAUUACUGAGCUCUCUCUACUUCUAGUCAUGGUUGUGCUGCUUCCACAGAGGUGCAGGACUUUAUGUUGCAGUGAAAAACGAGCCGAAGGAGCAGAAAACGCCCAGAAACUGCUAGGAGUUUAGAGGGUCAAUAAUUUCUCAUAAAAACUGAGCAAAUGACACCAAAGAUGUCAACUUUUGUGGUAAAGUAAUAAAUCUACAUUCAGUUACCAUGAUUGUCCUUCCUGUUCCUCCGCUUGUAUGUUUUUUUUUCCUGGGAUUUGGUGCAUUAGUGGAAUGAAAUGUUGAGUGCACCUGUCAGAUUAAAGGAUUGAAGGUAUCCCAUUCUAUUAUUAUUUGUUGACUGUAACUGUUAAAUCUAAUCUCCUUGUCUUCCUGUGAAAUAGAUUGAAGUGUGGAAGCUUUUUAAAAUUUUUUUUAUUUUUUUAUUGGAAGCGAAAAAACCUCUUAUCCUGAUUCUGCUUUUACAUUCCAUUAAAGAAUAAAUAUGAAAUAUUUACAGCGUA
RNA transcript from Amphiprion ocellaris (clown anemonefish), 23156 nucleotides. It is a transcript of the gene named trypsin like peroxisomal matrix peptidase 1, with no coding region annotated. NCBI's taxonomy places the organism in Eukaryota, Metazoa, Chordata, Actinopteri, Pomacentridae. The transcript is spliced from 6 exons. The record is from RefSeq and is a predicted model, not a curated record.